RNAcentral lists this long non-coding RNA (210 nucleotides) under Lathyrus oleraceus (garden pea). RNAcentral describes it as "Pisum sativum (pea) long non-coding RNA (PSAT_LNC008215)". The record is from RNAcentral. Lineage: Eukaryota; Viridiplantae; Streptophyta; Magnoliopsida; Fabales; Fabaceae.
AAGAAUUAGUUGGAAGUGUUAUGCAUUUCUGCAUCACAACAAAAGGUAAUAUGCAUGAUCAUAAAUAGUUUAUGUUAAUUUUUUAUGUGAUACCAUAUGUAGUUGUUCAUACGCUUUCAAGCACUUCAUUAUAUGGAUGUGUUUACCGUUAUUUUUGGUAAAUCAAAUCACAAGUUUUUUUUUUCCUUAUAGAAUUAAACUCGAAAAAAA